This 468-nucleotide ribosomal RNA is filed under the name uncultured bacterium. Its description in RNAcentral is "partial 16S ribosomal RNA". It matches the Rfam family "Bacterial small subunit ribosomal RNA", at positions 28 to 507 of the family's 1533-position model. The record is from RNAcentral.
GACGAACGCUGGCGGCGUGCUUAACACAUGCAAGUCGAACGGAAAGGCCCUGCUUUUGUGGGGUGCUCGAGUGGCGAACGGGUGAGUAACACGUGAGUAACCUGCCCUUGACUUUGGGAUAACUUCAGGAAACUGGGGCUAAUACCGGAUAGGAGCUCCUGCUGCAUGGUGGGGGUUGGAAAGUUUCGGCGGUUGGGGAUGGACUCGCGGCUUAUCAGCUUGUUGGUGGGGUAGUGGCUUACCAAGGCUUUGACGGGUAGCCGGCCUGAGAGGGGGACCGGCCACAUUGGGACUGAGAUAGGGCGCAGACUCCUACGGGAGGCAGCAGGGGGGAAUAUUGCACAAUGGGCGGAAGCCAGAUGCAGCAACGCCGCGUGCGGGAUGACGGCCUUCGGGUUGUAAACCGAUUUCGCCGGUGACGAAGCGUGAGUGACGGUAAUGGGUAAAGAAGCACCGGCUAACUACGUG